ACAUUACGGGAGGCAGCAGUGGGGAAUUUUGCGCUAUGGGGGAAACCCUGACGCAGCAACGCCGCGUGGAGGAUGAAGUCCCCUUGGGACGUAAACUCCUUUCGACCGGGACGAUAAUGACCGGUACCGGUGGAAGAAGCCCCGGCUAACUUCGUGCCGGCAGCCGCGGUAAUACGAGGGGGGCAAGCGUUGUUCGGAAUUAUUGGGCGUAAAGGGCGCGUAGGCGGUGCGGUAAGUCUCCGGUGAAAUCUCUGAGCUCAACUCAGAGCCUGCCGGGGAAACUGCCGUGCUGGAGUGUGGGAGAGGUAAGCGGAAUUCCUGGUGUAGCGGUGAAAUGCGUAGAUAUCAGGAGGAACACCUGCGGUGUAGACGGCUUACUGGACCAUAACUGACGCUGAGGCACGAAAGCGUGGGUAGCAAACAGGAUUAGAUACCCUGGUAGUCCACGCCCUAAACGAUGAAUACUUGGUGUCUGGAGUUAUUAGUGCUCCGGGUGCCGUCGCUAACGUUUUUAGUAUUCCGCCUGGGGAUGUACGCUCGCAAGAGUGACAACUCAGAAGGAAUUG
This 566-nucleotide ribosomal RNA is filed under the name uncultured Acidobacteriota bacterium. Its description in RNAcentral is "bacterial SSU rRNA". It matches the Rfam family "Bacterial small subunit ribosomal RNA", at positions 335 to 912 of the family's 1533-position model. Lineage: Bacteria; Pseudomonadati; Acidobacteriota. The record is from RNAcentral.